AAUAGAUACCCUGGUAGUCCACGCCGUAAACGAUGAGUGCUAAGUGUUGGGGGGUUUCCGCCCCUCAGUGCUGCAGCUAACGCAUUAAGCACUCCGCCUGGGGAGUACGGUCGCAAGACUGAAACUCAAAGGAAUUGACGGGGGCCCGCACAAGCGGUGGAGCAUGUGGUUUAAUUCGAAGCAACGCGAAGAACCUUACCAGGUCUUGACAUCCCGGUGACCACUAUGGAGACAUAGUUUCCCCUUCGGGGGCAACGGUGACAGGUGGUGCAUGGUUGUCGUCAGCUCGUGUCGUGAGAUGUUGGGUUAAGUCCCGCAACGAGCGCAACCCUUAUUCUUAGUUGCCAUCAUUCAGUUGGGCACUCUAAGGAGACUGCCGGUGAUAAACCGGAGGAAGGUGGGGAUGACGUCAAAUCAUCAUGCCCCUUAUGACCUGGGCUACACACGUGCUACAAUGGACGGUACAAACGGUUGCCAACCCGCGAGGGGAGCUAAUCCGAUAAACCGUUCUCAGUUCGGAUUGUAGGCUGCAACUCGCCUAC
Molecule: ribosomal RNA, 542 nt
Filed under: uncultured bacterium
Lineage: Bacteria
Description: bacterial SSU rRNA
Rfam family: Bacterial small subunit ribosomal RNA
Source: RNAcentral